RNAcentral lists this ribosomal RNA (812 nucleotides) under uncultured bacterium. Its description in RNAcentral is "bacterial SSU rRNA". It matches the Rfam family "Bacterial small subunit ribosomal RNA", at positions 545 to 1353 of the family's 1533-position model. The record is from RNAcentral.
CAGGAUUGAUUGAGCGUUAAAGGGCGGAGUAGGCGGCUGAGCGAGUCAGUAGUGAAGUGCCAUAUUUCAAGGGUGGAAGUGCUAUUGAAACUGCAAGGCUUGAGUGCAGGAGAGGGUAUCGGAAUGCCGGAUGUAGCGGUGAAAUGCGUAGAGAUGCGGAGGAAACAGCAGUGGCGCAGGCGGGGUAAGCUGGACUGCAACUGACGUUGAGGCGCGAAAGUGUGGGAGGCAAACAGGAUAAGAUACCUUGGUAGUCCACACGGUAUACGAUGAAUGCUAGGUGUAUGGGGUAUCGACCCGUUCUGUCCCGGAGUAAACACAAUAAGCAUUCCACUUGGGGAGUACGGCAGCAAGGUUGAAACUCAAAAGAAUAGACGAGAGCCCGCACAAGCAGUCGAGUAUGUGCUUUAAUGGGAUGCAACGCGAAGACCCUUACCACGACUUGACAUCCUGAGAAGGCGGAGUAAAGUAUGCCGUGUCCCUUCGGGGGAACUCAGAGACAGGUGGUGCAUGGUUGUCGUCAGCUCGUGUCGUGAGAUGUUGGGUUAAGUCCCGCAACGAGCGCAACCCUUCCGGUUAGUUGCUACGCAAGAGCACUCUAGCCGGACUGCCGUUGACAAAACGGAGGAAGGUGGGGACGACGUCAAAUCAUCAUGCCCCUUACCUUGUGGGCUCCCCACGUACUACAAUCGCGUAAACAAAGGGCCGAGAAGGCGCGAGCCGGAGAUAAUCCUCAAAAUGCUGUCUCAGUUCAGACUGCAGGCUGCAACUCGCCUGCAUGAAGUCGGAAUUGCUAGUAAUGGCAGGUCAGC